Molecule: non-coding RNA, 24 nt
Filed under: Arabidopsis thaliana (thale cress)
Lineage: Eukaryota; Viridiplantae; Streptophyta; Magnoliopsida; Brassicales; Brassicaceae
Source: RNAcentral
CGGAAAUGACAUUUGAAGGCUCUC